Molecule: ribosomal RNA, 495 nt
Filed under: uncultured bacterium
Lineage: Bacteria
Description: bacterial SSU rRNA
Rfam family: Bacterial small subunit ribosomal RNA
Source: RNAcentral
AAUCAACGCUGGCGGCGUGCCUAACACAUGCAAGUCGAACGCGAAAGUCCCGCAAGGGAUUAGUAGAGUGGCAAACGGGUGAGUAACACGUGGGUGACCCGCCUUCGAGCGGGGGAUAACGUCCCGAAAGGGACGCUAAUACCGCAUAACAUCCUGCCUUUUAAGAGGUGGAGAUCAAAGCCGGGGAUCGCAAGACCUGGCACUUGAAGAGGGGCCCGCGCCUGAUUAGCUAGUUGGUGGGGUAAUGGCCUACCAAGGCAACGAUCAGUAUCCGGCCUGAGAGGGCGGACGGACACACUGGGACUGAGACACGGCCCAGACUCCUACGGGAGGCAGCAGUGGGGAAUUGUUCGCAAUGGGCGCAAGCCUGACGACGCAACGCCGCGUGGAGGAUGAAGGUCCUCUGGAUUGUAAACUUCUUUUAUAGGGGACAAACCCGGGAAUUCUUUCCCGAUUGACGGUACCCUAGGAAUAAGCACCGGCUAACUCCGUGCC